GACGAACGCUGGCGGCGUGCUUAACGCAUGCAAGUCGAACGGAAAGGCCCUGCUUUUGUGUGGUGCUCGAUUGGCGAACGGGUGUGUAACACGUGAGUAACCUGCCCUUGACUUUGGGAUAACUUCAGGAAACUGGGGCUAAUACCGGAUAGGAGCUCCUGCUGCAUUGUGGGGGUUGGAAAGUUUCGGCGGUUGGGGAUGGACUCGCGGCUUAUCAGCUUGUUGGUGGGGUAGUGGCUUACCAAGGCUUUGACGGGUAGCCGGCCUGAGAGGGUUCCCGGCCACAUGGGGACUGAGAGACGGCGCGGGCUUCAACGGGGGGCAGGAGGGGGGAAUAUGGCAGAAUGAGCAGAAGACAGAGGCAGCGACGACGCGUGCGGGAUGAAGGCGUAAGGGUUGUAGCCAGCUUUGGAAUGUGAAGGAGCGUGAGUGACGGUAAUGGGUAAAGAAGCACCGGCUAACUACGUG
Molecule: ribosomal RNA, 468 nt
Filed under: uncultured bacterium
Lineage: Bacteria
Description: partial 16S ribosomal RNA
Rfam family: Bacterial small subunit ribosomal RNA
Source: RNAcentral